Small nuclear RNA from Suncus etruscus (white-toothed pygmy shrew), 159 nucleotides. RefSeq annotates it as U1 spliceosomal RNA. NCBI's taxonomy places the organism in Eukaryota, Metazoa, Chordata, Mammalia, Eulipotyphla, Soricidae. The record is from RefSeq and is a predicted model, not a curated record. The transcript has a single exon.
AUACUUAGCUGGCAGGGGAGAUACCAUGAUGAUGAAGGUGAUUUCCUCAGGGUGAGGCUUAUCCAUUACAUUCCGGAUGUGCUGACCUCUAUGAUAUCCACAAAUAUGGGAAACUCAACUGCAUAAUUUGUGGUGGAGGACUGAGUUUACAAUCUUCCC